AGUCGAGCGAAYCAGUGGGAGCUUGCUCCCKGAGRUUAGCGGCGGACGGGUGAGUAACACGUGGGUAACCUGCCUGUAAGAUUGGGAUAACUCCGGGAAACCGGAGCUAAUACCGGAUAAYAUUUYGAACCGCAUGGUUCGAAAUUGAAAGAUGGUUUCGGCUAUCACUUACAGAUGGACCCGCGGCGCAUUAGCUAGUUGGUGAGGUAACGGCUCACCAAGGCGACGAUGCGUAGCCGACCUGAGAGGGUGAUCGGCCACACUGGGACUGAGACACGGCCCAGACUCCUACGGGAGGCAGCAGUAGGGAAUCUUCCGCAAUGGACGAAAGUCUGACGGAGCAACGCCGCGUGAACGAUGAAGGCCUUCGGGUCGUAAAGUUCUGUUGUUAGGGAAGAACAAGUACCAGAGUAACUGCUGGUACCUUGACGGUACCUAACCAGAAAGCCACGGCUAACUACGUGCCAGCAGCCGCGGUAAUACGUAGGUGGCAAGCGUUGUCCGGAAUUAUUGGGCGUAAAGCGCGCGCAGGCGGUUUCUUAAGUCUGAUGUGAAAGCCCACGGCUCAACCGUGGAGGGUCAUUGGAAACUGGGGAACUUGAGUGCAGAAGAGGAGAGUGGAAUUCCACGUGUAGCGGUGAAAUGCGUAGAGAUGUGGAGGAACACCAGUGGCGAAGGCGACUCUCUGGUCUGUAACUGACGCUGAGGCGCGAAAGCGUGGGGAGCGAACAGGAUUAGAUACCCUGGUAGUCCACGCCGUAAACGAUGAGUGCUAAGUGUUAGAG
This 785-nucleotide ribosomal RNA is filed under the name Bacillus sp. RFR-7. RNAcentral's name for it is "bacterial SSU rRNA". It matches the Rfam family "Bacterial small subunit ribosomal RNA", at positions 60 to 828 of the family's 1533-position model. The record is from RNAcentral. Lineage: Bacteria; Bacillati; Bacillota; Bacilli; Caryophanales; Bacillaceae.